UUUUCCUACGGGGGGCAGCAGUGAGGAAUAUUGGUCAAUGGGCGAAAGCCUGAACCAGCCAUGCCGCGUGCAGGAAGACGGCUCUAUGAGUUGUAAACUGCUUUUGUACGAGGGUAAACACAGAUACGUGUAUCUGCUUGAAAGUAUCGUACGAAUAAGGAUCGGCUAACUCCGUGCCAGCAGCCGCGGUAAUACGGAGGAUCCAGGCGUUAUCCGGAUUUAUUGGGUUUAAAGGGUGCGUAGGCGGUUUAGUAAGUCAGCGGUGAAAUUUUGGUGCUC
This 279-nucleotide ribosomal RNA is filed under the name uncultured bacterium. RNAcentral's name for it is "partial 16S ribosomal RNA". It matches the Rfam family "Bacterial small subunit ribosomal RNA", at positions 334 to 610 of the family's 1533-position model. The record is from RNAcentral.